Molecule: transfer RNA, 73 nt
Filed under: Cordyceps farinosa
Lineage: Eukaryota; Fungi; Ascomycota; Sordariomycetes; Hypocreales; Cordycipitaceae
Description: tRNA-Phe
Rfam family: tRNA
About the family: Transfer RNA (tRNA) molecules are approximately 80 nucleotides in length. Their secondary structure includes four short double-helical elements and three loops (D, anti-codon, and T loops).
Source: RNAcentral
GCUUGUGAAGCUCAACCGGUUGAGCGAAAUAUUGAAGCUAUUUAGGUUGUAAGUUCGAAUCUUAUCACGAGCA